This 79-nucleotide transfer RNA is filed under the name Actinokineospora fastidiosa. Its description in RNAcentral is "tRNA-Met". The record is from RNAcentral. RNAcentral also lists the same sequence under 1 other name. Lineage: Bacteria; Bacillati; Actinomycetota; Actinomycetes; Pseudonocardiales; Pseudonocardiaceae.
GGCCUGCUGGGCGGCCUUGGUCGUGCCGGUCAGGUUCAUCACCUGGCCGCCGAGCCGCUCGACCCAGCGGCGGGCCUCC